Long non-coding RNA from Papaver somniferum (opium poppy), 1567 nucleotides. RefSeq lists it as uncharacterized. The transcript is spliced from 2 exons. Lineage: Eukaryota; Viridiplantae; Streptophyta; Magnoliopsida; Ranunculales; Papaveraceae. The record is from RefSeq and is a predicted model, not a curated record.
UACUAAUUAUCUACGAACCUGAUUUACUUCAUAUUCAAGGUUCGAAUUAUGUUUUAAAUAAGAUUGAAUUCAGUUUUAUCUCUCUCGGUACUAAUAUUUCUUACUGCAGGUUCAUGUUUAUGACUAAUCAUAUUAGUUGGGUUGAUCCCCAACUCUUCAGGAUUUAUAUAUAUGAUUCGCAGCUUACCUUGGGGUACCAACUCCACAAUGUUUGAGAACGUGAUACUGAAAGUACAAGUUAAUUUCGAUCAUCCGGCGAAUAAACAAAAAAUGUGAGACUUAAUGGUCUUUGCGACGAAAAUGGCCAAAUGUGGUUGGCCUGGUAUUUCUAUGUAUCAGCAACCACAAUGAUGAAAUGAGGUUGGCCUGAUAUUUCCAUGUAUCAGCAACCAGUCUAAUUACCUUGACAACAGAAAGGAGUCAGAGACGAACUAAAGUUUGUUGGCACCUCUUAUGGAAAUCACGGCCAGAAAAAAAAUACAAGAAACAAAGGUUCUCUUUGAUGUAUGCAGUGAGUCCACCAAGAGCUAGAUGUGUAGACCAUUACUAUUAGUGUGCCAAGUACUGUGCACCUAACCCAGUUGAAUGUCACAUGGUCUGGAGGAGUAUAUGCUGGUCAAAUUGGAGAUUUAUGAAGCAACUGCGACAACUGAAUUGAUGGGCUUGGGGCUGAAUUCUAAAUGCGAUUUUGGUUCAGUGAAGCAUUGAACACAAGCUGGGGUUUCUUGCUGUGAUCGAAUUAGGAAAAGCAGUGAAGCAUUGUCGGCGUAUGAGGGCCUGAGCUGUGCAGUCGUGGCAGGCAGAAACAUAAACUGCAGCGAUGAUGUGAAUGGAGAAGAGUCAUUGGACAACCAGCUGGGGUUAUUUUCGUUUGUGGCAGCGAGUGCUCCAUUGAAUGAACUUCUACAGCAGCAACGAGAAGACCAAGGUCUGUAUGUUGGCUGAGAUGAUUAUGGUUUAGAAAAGGAUGAUCGGGGAGAAAUGAAGCAGCAACGUCGAUGGAGCAAAGAGGAAGUAUUCCGGGAUCUGAGUUAAGAAAUGAGUUGGCUGUUUGAUUGAAUGGAGAUGGCUGCAGUCAGCGAAGUGGAGAUGUGUGUAUGAGCUGUGCAAUCGAUACAGAAUUUGACGCAAUGAAACUAGUCUUGUGGUCAGCUGGGAAGGAGCUGAAACUUAGAUGGUCAGAACUUGGACAGUUUUUGUACUUGAGAAAGAAUUGGCAACAACAAAAGAAGCCACAAUGGAGAUGCUCCAAGUUCAGGUUUAUCUCGAAGUUCGCGGAGAGUAAUGAGAGGAUUGGUAAUUCAGUUACGUAGAGGAAGUGCUGUAGAUGGAUUCCGGAAGGAGCUUGUGUCGAUCAUGAAAGAGAAUGAGUGGAGUGUAAUGUCACUUCAGGUCCGUGAGAAGAAAUGUUUAUCAAGGCUAAGAGGCUGCUGACGAUGGAAUUGGUGAUAGUUCAGGCUUACUGCCAGUAUCGUCCAUUGACCCUGGAAAAUCAUAAACGCUGUUAAAAGGGUGGUACGUGGUGUUAGAGAAAAUGAAUUUAUACAAUAGUUUGGUUUUUUGGUCU